This 285-nucleotide small RNA is filed under the name Marmota monax (woodchuck). Lineage: Eukaryota; Metazoa; Chordata; Mammalia; Rodentia; Sciuridae. The record is from RNAcentral.
UAGUUCACAUGUUGGUUGAGGAACAGUUUCAAGCUGGUGAUAUAGAACCACCACUUAGCCAUUGGAACACACCCAUUUUUGUUAUUAAGAAAAAGUCAGGUAGUUAGAGUUUAUUACAGGAUGCAAAGGUGAUAAAUCAUGCAAUUCAGCCUAUGGGAGCAUUAUAGUCUGGACUUCCUUCCCCCACAGCUAUUCCUUUUGAUUAUAGCUUAAUGGUAAUAGAUCUAAAAUACUUCUUUUUUCUAUAAAAUUACAUCCUGAGGAUUGUGAGAAAUUUGCUUUCAG